RNAcentral lists this ribosomal RNA (472 nucleotides) under uncultured bacterium. RNAcentral's name for it is "bacterial SSU rRNA". It matches the Rfam family "Bacterial small subunit ribosomal RNA", at positions 28 to 507 of the family's 1533-position model. The record is from RNAcentral.
GAUGAACGCUGGCGGCGCGCCUAACACAUGCAAGUCGAACGGUUAAAGCCCCUUCGGGGGUGUAUAAAGUGGCGAACGGCUGAGUAACACGUGGGCAACCUACCUCUUGCUCUGGGAUAGCCUCGAGAAAUCGUGGGUAAUACCGGAUACUCCGUAACCGUCGCAUGGCGGAUACGGGAAAGCGCAUACGGCAAGAGAUGGGCCCGCGGCCUGUUAGCUUGUUGGUGGGGUAACGGCCUACCAAGGCUAUUAUGGGUAGCUGGGUUGAGAGACCGACCAGCCAGAUUGGGACUGAGACACGGCCCAGACUCCUACGGGAGGCAGCAGUGGGGAAUCUUGCACAAUGGGCGAAAGCCUGAUGCAGCGACGCCGCGUGCGGGAUGAAGGCCCUAUGGGUUGUAAACCGCUUUCAGCAGGGACGAGGCCGCAAGGUGACGGUACCUGCAGAAGAAGCCCCCGGCUAAACUACGUG